This is a long non-coding RNA of Xiphophorus couchianus (Monterrey platyfish), 1815 nucleotides long. RefSeq lists it as uncharacterized. The record is from RefSeq and is a predicted model, not a curated record. Lineage: Eukaryota; Metazoa; Chordata; Actinopteri; Cyprinodontiformes; Poeciliidae. The transcript is spliced from 2 exons.
CUGGCACGCUUCACCAUAGCAUUGCCUUUUUACACACACACACACAGCAACAAACCUAAUGCUAGCUCCAGGCGCACACGGGUGUAAACGUGUGCAGCAUUUAGGUGGGAUGACGAAACUCAAGAGAGGUCUCUGAGGUUUUUGGUGAGUAAACGUGUGUGAGGAGGACACAUCAGAAGAAAACGAGACACACUCCAGACGCUCGUUCAAUAUAUCCCUCCCUCCCCUCUUAUUUCACAAUCUAAUCCCGGAUUAAUCUAUUUUAAUCUCAGUCCAGGGUACAGAAAACUCUACAGAAAUGAACAUGUACACUGUGGUGGGGAAUACUGAGGAGAAUUUAAAGAAAGACGUUGCUAAACCAAUGCAGAGCUCAACUAAAAAUGCUCAAUAAAAGGGGUAAUUAACAAGGAGUCAACUUGCACUCUCUGUUGACAUGCCAGCUCUCUGUAUCAACCCUGCUGGAUGAGGCUGCUCUUUAGCAAUAAUCAGGCUCAGGCUUUGUUUUCCCUUCUCUGUUUCUUCAAAUCUGUCAAACACAGAUUUAUUUUCACUGUGCCAAACUGGAAAUCCUUCUUAAGAAGAAAAAAUAACAAAACAACUUUGCAAACUAGAACCACAAUAAAAAAUAAAAAAAGACAAUCAAGGUUUCCUGAUUUCUUGCAUUGACUCAAAAGAGUCUAUGCAAAAAGAGAGAGAAAUUUCAGAAAUUAAAAGAAGAGUGCUGCCUCCAGAUCAAUCCAUGCGCAGCAAUAGCCGCAAAGGCUUUGACUGACCAACGCAAUAUUUGAAUGUCUCAUCCGCCAUCAGCCGAGCGCACUCCCGUUCAGCUGUCAUUCUCAACAUGGUGUCAAAAUUGGCAAAACCCAACAGAUGCUGUGCGUGCCCAACAGACAGACUGAACACAGCGAAAGGGGGGACACUACAGACGGCAUGCAGGAAUGUGGAGAGUCAAAUCAGGGAUGAUAAUAACCUAAUUUGUUGCUCCUGACCUUUCAGAGUCUUUUGCCCUCACUCCAAAAAAAAAAAGAAUAUCCUGUUACAUUAAAAAUUAUUUACACAGUUUGAGGCUGGCCUGGACACAAAUGUAGCUCCAAACUAAUGAUCAAAGCACAGCACAAGAGCCAAGAUGGCCUCUCUGCCUUCUAUAGUCCUGACAAAAUCUGCUGAUCUGUCUUUGAAACCAUUUCAUUUGCUGUGCUGCCAAACACUGAUAGCAUUAGUAAAGAGGAGAGUUAAUGAAAUGGAGACCCAGAAUAACUUUCGCCAGCUACUCGAUUCCCCACUGAGGCCUAGUCUCAUAUAGAGCUUCCUGCUCCUGGUGCUCUGGAGCCCAAAGACCCCAACAGCCAUUUAAUGCUCAGAAAAUUUAAAGAAAGUGCUUUUAUUCUUUGCUUACAAGUUUAUCAAAACCCCACUAAGUUGUGUUUUAUUUAUGUAUUUCUUUUUACGCUUACACGGAUACUAUGAUUUGAGCUACAGAUGAUCAAAUGCACUUAGAUUUCUCUAAAACAAAAGAAAAGAAAAACUCUUUUGGUAAAGGAUUUGACAGUCACUAAGGCUGUGCUGUCCUGGGAAAUGAACCGUAACACACAUCCACAAACACCACUGUGUGAAAAUAAAUCUUAAGUAGCCGUGACAUCUUUCUAAACAGGCCUGCAGCUCAUCCAGGCCAUUCCCCUCAUCUCUAAGGAUUCUGCUUUGGACUUGAGGGCAAGAGCAAAUGACAAAGUCACAGGAAUCGCCCAAUUACCAAACUUUCUACCCAGCUUUUACCUUCCUCAACACUUUGCCACAUGUGCUUUUUUUUUUUUUUUU